This 450-nucleotide ribosomal RNA is filed under the name uncultured bacterium. RNAcentral describes it as "partial 16S ribosomal RNA". It matches the Rfam family "Bacterial small subunit ribosomal RNA", at positions 354 to 796 of the family's 1533-position model. The record is from RNAcentral.
GUGGGGAAUAUUGGACAAUGGGCGCAAGCCUGAUCCAGCAAUGCCGCGUGCAGGAAGAAGGCCUUCGGGUUGUAAACUGCUUUUGUACGGAACGAAACGGCUCUGGUUAAUACCCGGGGCUAAUGACGGUACCGUAAGAAUAAGCACCGGCUAACUACGUGCCAGCAGCCGCGGUAAUACGUAGGGUGCAAGCGUUAAUCGGAAUUACUGGGCGUAAAGCGUGCGCAGGCGGGUUUGUAAGACAGGCGUGAAAUCCCCGGGCUCAACCUGGGAAUGGCGCUUGUGACUGCAAAGCUGGAGUGCGGCAGAGGGGGAUGGAAUUCCGCGUGUAGCAGUGAAAUGCGUAGAUAUGCGGAGGAACACCGAUGGCGAAGGCAAUCCCCUGGGCCUGCACUGACGCUCAUGCACGAAAGCGUGGGGAGCAAACAGGAUUAGAUACCCGAGUAGUCC